CCUACGGGUGGCAGCAGUGAGGAAUAUUGGUCAAUGGGCGCGAGCCUGAACCAGCCAAGUAGCGUGAAGGAUGAAUGCCCUACGGGUUGUAAACUUCUUUUAUAAAGGAAUAAAGUGAGGCACGUGUGCCUUUUUGUAUGUACUUUAUGAAUAAGGAUCGGCUAACUCCGUGCCAGUAGCCGCGGUAAUACGGAGGCUCCGAGCGUUAGCCGGAUUUAUUGGGUUUAAAGGGAGCGUAGAUUGGUUGUUGAGUCAGUGGUGAAAGUGUUCGGCUCAACCGUAAAAUUGCAAUUGAUACUGGCAGUCUUGAGUACAGUUGAGGUAGGCGGAAUUCGUGGUGUAGCGGUGAAAUGCUUAGAUAUCUCGAAGAACUCCGAUUGCGAAGGCAGCUUACUAAACUGCCACUGACAUUGAUGCUCGAAAGUGUGGGUAUCAAACAGGAUUAGAUACCCUUGUAGUC
RNAcentral lists this ribosomal RNA (460 nucleotides) under uncultured bacterium. Its description in RNAcentral is "partial 16S ribosomal RNA". It matches the Rfam family "Bacterial small subunit ribosomal RNA", at positions 338 to 795 of the family's 1533-position model. The record is from RNAcentral.